Transfer RNA from Trichomalopsis sarcophagae, 87 nucleotides. It matches the Rfam family "tRNA". Rfam says of the family: Transfer RNA (tRNA) molecules are approximately 80 nucleotides in length. Their secondary structure includes four short double-helical elements and three loops (D, anti-codon, and T loops). NCBI's taxonomy places the organism in Eukaryota, Metazoa, Arthropoda, Insecta, Hymenoptera, Pteromalidae. The record is from Rfam.
CCUUCGAUAGCUCAGUUGGUAGAGCGGUGGACUGUAGUUGGUUUAUCAGGAAUCCAUAGGUCGCUGGUUCAAAUCCGGCUCGAAGGA